RNAcentral lists this ribosomal RNA (158 nucleotides) under Inocybe parvisquamulosa. RNAcentral describes it as "5.8S ribosomal RNA". It matches the Rfam family "5.8S ribosomal RNA". From Rfam's summary of the family: 5.8S ribosomal RNA (5.8S rRNA) is a component of the large subunit of the eukaryotic ribosome. It is transcribed by RNA polymerase I as part of the 45S precursor that also contains 18S and 28S rRNA. Functionally, it is thought that 5.8S rRNA may be involved in ribosome translocation. Lineage: Eukaryota; Fungi; Basidiomycota; Agaricomycetes; Agaricales; Inocybaceae. The record is from RNAcentral. RNAcentral also lists the same sequence under 1 other name.
CAACUUUCAGCAACGGAUCUCUUGGCUCUCGCAUCGAUGAAGAACGCAGCGAAAUGCGAUAAGUAAUGUGAAUUGCAGAAUUCAGUGAAUCAUCGAAUUUUUGAACGCAUCUUGCGCUCCUUGGUAUUCUGAGGAGCAUGCCUGUUUGAGUAUCAUAA